Molecule: long non-coding RNA, 2721 nt
Organism: Caretta caretta (loggerhead turtle)
Lineage: Eukaryota; Metazoa; Chordata; Testudines; Cheloniidae
Source: RefSeq, a predicted model, not a curated record
UUAAAGAGUGGGGUGGGGAGGUGCAGGUUUCAGUGAAUGCUAAACCCACAUCCCCUUUGCAUGCCAAUUUGCUGCCCCAUUGUUCUGUAGUGAGACUUUGUGAGUGAUUUUUCUCCCCCCAGUGCACUGAGGAGGGAACAGCCGGUGUGCCCAGCUCCAGGAGGACAGCAGCUGCCUUCAGGUGGUGCAGAGCUGUAGUCACCAAUGACGUGAGUCACAUGGACCCUGCCACCGCUGGCACUGAUCACCAGUUUCAGCAACGAGGCUGGAGAUUGACGCUGAUGUACCUGCUCUUCUGGGAGGUUUGAUGACACCGUGGCUGGCGCAGGAGGUCGAGCUCCCGCAGCCUGGGCUCAGCCUGUUAGUGCAGUGGGAUGAAGGGAAACUUCUGUAUCCCAUGCUAGUGAACACACUGUGCCCCUUUUUCCAUCUCUGGACUGUGCAGAGAGGUUGAAGAGGCUGCUGCUGCUCAAGUAGCCGAGAGGCUCGUGCUUUUAGAUCCAGGGCACGGGGAUCAGUCCCUGCCAAUGACCCAUCUAGGGCCUUGCUCCAAAGCCUUGGCCGUACCAUGUUGCAUGGGUAAUGCUUGUGUGCUGGCUGCCCUCGUGGCCGACACACCGGGGAUCAAACCGAAAGCAGGAGCGGCUAUGGCUUGAGCUAAAGAGCUGUGACUCAGGAGCUGGGACGGUUCCUGUUCUCUGUGGAUUGGCACAGUGGGGACCUUAACACGCUCCCCUGCCGCUGUCCUUGCUGUGCCCGCUCUGUUGCUCACCCCGCCCGAGGGAAUUCUGACUGUUUAGGGCCUGACUGAGCGACUCAGACUUUACUUCCAAGACCACUUGCUUUUAGGUUUUGAAGGGUCCCUGGUGACCAAUCCAUGGCUGUUCCUGGAGGGACUGAAAUAGCCUCUGGUUUAGCCUGCGGAACAUCUGCGAACCCUAUCUCAUUCCCAGCAUCCCCUGGUCAGCUAUUACCCUUGAUAUGGCCAAAAAACCUCCCUAUGAACUUCAGAGCAAGGUGAUGAGAUGCAGGGCACCCUCUGCCAUCUGGAAUUAGCGGGGCCAGCACCUUUCAGAGCCUCUGCCCUAAUAAAGGGCCCCACACUUCAAAUGCCUUUCAAGACUCUCCUAAGAGAUGACCGGUGAUAAAUUAUGCAAAUGGAGUGUGGAGUUCGGGCCUGGCCUGUUUGAUGAUCUGCUGAUGGGACUGAGAGGGGUCUGAAGCUGUGUAUGUGUAUCCGCUGCUGAUUGAUUCUCUCCUUUGGGAAGCUGCCCCUGCUGCUGGGGAUCGGGAUUUGCUGUUGCUGCCCCUGCAGAGCUGGGGAAUGAAGCAGCGCACGGGCUGGGCAGCCCCCUGGCAGCAGAGGCAGAGAAACUGGUCAGCAGCCUUGAGAAUAUAACAGGGUGAGUGCUGAAGGCUGCUUCGGCAAGCAGUAUAAUCACCCGGGAUCUGGACUCACUAAGGAGACCAACAAAUCUGUACUGCUACAGUUGUCAGCUGUGUAUGGACUGGGCUGGGCCAGACCCUGCUGUGAAACCAGCCUGGAGGAGGCACAGAGAGAUGAGGACACAAAUAUGAUCUGCUAGUUGAGAAACAUUUAAUGAAGAGUGCAGUGUGGAAAACUGACGAAUUGAAGCCAUUCCUUAACACGGGUGAAAGGUUUUGCCGCGGAAGCCCUGGAGAUGUCAGUCUUUUAUCCACAGAACAGAUCCACCAGCAGGAUUCUUCUUCUGCACCUACCCCAGCUCUGCUCCCACGUGCUGUGCCACCCCUUGCUGCACUGUGGGCAGUUCAAUCUCCCGGGCUCCUUCGAUUCGGGGGCUGGAGGCUGCCCUUCUGUGAGACAGAUGAGUGCCUGGUCUCUGGACACCACUCCCCUGAGAGCACUGAUUUCGCAUGGGUCACCAGCUGAACACUGUGUAUGCCAGCCUGGUUUAGACUCAAACCAGCACCCUGAAGAGGCUCUGUAGUCCUCUUACUCUCCUCCCUGCUGUGUUUCCUUUGGAUCCAUUUAAGAAAAGGUUGAUGCUUCUCCCAUCAGGAGCUGCUGCAAAUGCUGUUGGAGCAUGACUGUCCAGCUCUACAUUAAAUCUAAGGCAGCCCUGAGCAACCUUCUCUCUGCAAAUUGCACCCCAGCAGUGCAUGAGUGAGAGCCUGCAGCUCCUCUGGAGGCCGGGGCCACGACACAGACAAGAAAGCCAGGAGCUGAAGAAACAAGCAGAGACGUAGUGACUUGCCUGCAGUCCAAGUGGCAGAGCUGGGCCUGGAACCUCACUCUUCCUGUCAACAGGAAUAUGCAGCCUCACCAGAGGGAGUGGGCACUAGCAGACACCCAGAAUGUUACAGCAGAAGCCCUGGCCACAGUUUGAAGGAAGUGUGUUCUGCUGGACUGGUUGAGAAGGUCUGAGGCCUACAAUGAUGUGGAGGCCUAACAGAGUUUUCUCCCAAGCAGGAAAAUAAGUUGCUGGAUCGAAACAAAGCUUUGACAUCAUAAAUGUGCCUGAAAAUACUGGAAAAAAUUAUUCAUAUUUGCAACAUGCUUAAUGAUGAACAUUAUAUGCAUGUAAACAAAGACGGCUCAUCAGUGGCACAUAAGGGCAGCAAUACCAGAUUCCACAAAGCAAUUAAUCUCUGGAUUUUGGUAUUCUGUAAACCACCUUCUACCUGGAACUGAAACUAAGUAUGUUAAACAAAACUGGAAGCCACCAGAUAUCACUGACC